This 438-nucleotide ribosomal RNA is filed under the name Sternaspis sendalli. Its description in RNAcentral is "partial 16S ribosomal RNA". It matches the Rfam family "Bacterial large subunit ribosomal RNA", at positions 1953 to 2606 of the family's 2925-position model. The record is from RNAcentral. Lineage: Eukaryota; Metazoa; Annelida; Polychaeta; Terebellida; Sternaspidae.
AAGGUAGCAUAAUCAUUUGCCUCUUAAUUAGUGGCUAGUAUGAAUGGACAAACGAGAAUUCCCCUGUCUCUAUAAAGCCAAUGAAAAUUAAUCUUCAGGUGAAGAAGCCUGAAUCUCAUUAAAAGACAAAAAGACCCUAUUGAGCUUACAUUCAAUCUCUAAAAUAUUAAAAUAAAAUAAAACUACCCUUUUUACAAGAAUUUUGCUGGGGCGGCAAAGGAACAACCAAAAAUUCCUUUUCUCAAAGACUUAUAAGUCUAUUAACUGAUCCGUAUUAACGAUUAACAAAACUAGUUACCAUAGGGAUAACAGGCUAAUUUUUCUCUAAAGCUCACAUUAACAGAAAAGAUUGGCACCUCGAUGUUGGCUUAGGAUAUCCUAAGGGCGCAGAAGCCUUUUAAGGUGGGUUUGUUCAACCUUUAAAAUCCUACGUGAUCU